AUGGCCUGGGCUUCUCUCUUUCUGACCGUCUUCACUUCCUGCACAGGGGCUUUUGCUCAGUUUGUGCUGACUCAACCACCUUCGCUCUCGGCAUCUCCUGGAGAAACAGUCAAGAUCCUCUGUACCAGGAGAGGAGGUAACAUCGGAAAUUACUAUAUAUCCUGGUAUCAACAGAAACCUGGCAGUGCCCCCAGACUGAUGAUAUAUCAGCACACCUACAGAAGCUUUGGGACCCCAGAGAGAUUCUCCGGUUCCUAUGACACCGCGGCCAACACUGCCACCUUAACCAUCUCCAACCUUCAAGCAGAAGAUGAGGCGGUUUAUUAUUGUUCAUCUUAUGGUAACAGCUGGCAGAGCACAGGAGGAAGUGAGACAGAAAUCUCCUAG
Rhineura floridana is the source of this 387-nucleotide non-coding RNA. The record is from the annotation of a RefSeq genome assembly. Lineage: Eukaryota; Metazoa; Chordata; Lepidosauria; Squamata; Rhineuridae.